AGCUUUUCGAAUCCAUGCGGAGAUUUUGUCAGACACCAAUCUAUUAGGACGGAUCAGACUUCCAAGAUAAGUGAAGUU
Schistosoma rodhaini is the source of this 78-nucleotide non-coding RNA. NCBI's taxonomy places the organism in Eukaryota, Metazoa, Platyhelminthes, Trematoda, Strigeidida, Schistosomatidae. The record is from Rfam.